Molecule: long non-coding RNA, 289 nt
Filed under: Populus tremula
Lineage: Eukaryota; Viridiplantae; Streptophyta; Magnoliopsida; Malpighiales; Salicaceae
Description: long non-coding RNA (PTRE_LNC002598)
Source: RNAcentral
AAAUUGUGUGUAUCUUCUGCUCUAAUAUCAAAUUUAAUUCGAAAGAGAAGCUCGAUUCCAUUGCUAGACCUGGAAACUUUACUGCAUGCAGACUUGAAGUUCGGGCAUUGUUGAAGAGCAGACAAGGUAUCUUUUGCUCUUUCAUGAUUUCAUCUUGAUGGGAUUUUGUGGUGCUUGUAUGAUUCGAUCGUAUUUUUUUGCACUUUAUUUGACCUGUGCUUUAUAACGAUUCUUGAACAGAAAGUCUUCCAUUUAGUUGAGCAUUUUGGAUUUGGAAUUUAUAGGAGAG